RNAcentral lists this transfer RNA (72 nucleotides) under Camelus bactrianus (Bactrian camel). It matches the Rfam family "tRNA". From Rfam's summary of the family: Transfer RNA (tRNA) molecules are approximately 80 nucleotides in length. RNAcentral also lists the same sequence under 1 other name. Lineage: Eukaryota; Metazoa; Chordata; Mammalia; Artiodactyla; Camelidae. The record is from Rfam by way of RNAcentral.
GAGGGUAUGGCUCAGUGGCAUAGUGCACGCCUAGCACGCACAAGGCCCUGGGUUCAAUCCCCAGUGCCUCCA